Molecule: unclassified non-coding RNA, 307 nt
Filed under: uncultured fungus
Lineage: Eukaryota; Fungi
Description: partial contains 5.8S ribosomal RNA and internal transcribed spacer 2
Rfam family: 5.8S ribosomal RNA (bases 1-133)
Source: RNAcentral
UGGUUCUGGCAUNGAUGAAGAACGCAGCGAAAUGCGAUAAGUAAUGUGAAUUGCAGAAUCCAGUGAAUCAUCGAAUCUUUGAACGCACAUUGCGCCCUCUGGCAUUCCGGAGGGCAUACCUGUACGAGCGUCAUUACAACCCUCAAAGAUGACUCUUUGGCGUUGGGCGAUGCCUGGAGGCAUGCCCCAAAAUCAGCGAUGGCGGCCUUCGGCCACGGGCGCACAAACGUGUCCAGCGGCCGGACGUCGUCAGCCGAUUGACGAAUCUCCAAAUGUUGACCUCGGAUCAGGUAGGGAUACCCGCUGA